RNAcentral lists this ribosomal RNA (427 nucleotides) under uncultured bacterium. Its description in RNAcentral is "partial 16S ribosomal RNA". It matches the Rfam family "Bacterial small subunit ribosomal RNA", at positions 355 to 774 of the family's 1533-position model. The record is from RNAcentral.
UGGGGAAUAUUGGACAAUGGGCGAAAGCCUGAUCCAGCCAUGCCGCGUGUGUGAAGAAGGUCUUCGGAUUGUAAAGCACUUUAAGUUGGGAGGAAGGGCAUUAACCUAAUACGUUAGUGUUUUGACGUUACCGACAGAAUAAGCACCGGCUAACUCUGUGCCAGCAGCCGCGGUAAUACAGAGGGUGCAAGCGUUAAUCGGAAUUACUGGGCGUAAAGCGCGCGUAGGUGGUUUGUUAAGUUGGAUGUGAAAUCCCCGGGCUCAACCUGGGAACUGCAUUCAAAACUGACUGACUAGAGUAUGGUAGAGGGUGGUGGAAUUUCCUGUGUAGUGGUGAAAUGCGUAGAUAUAGGAAGGAACACCAGUGGCGAAGGCGACCACCUGGACUAAUACUGACACUGAGGUGCGAAAGCGUGGGGAGCAAACA